Molecule: small nucleolar RNA, 127 nt
Organism: Otolemur garnettii (small-eared galago)
Lineage: Eukaryota; Metazoa; Chordata; Mammalia; Primates; Galagidae
Source: Ensembl
GGGGUGUGUUCAAAGCAAGGGGCCUAAAGAAUGGCUCCUCUGUUUAUAACACCCAACAGGAAUCUGGGAUCAUUACGAUUAGGGGCGCAAAACUUAUGGCCUCCCUACAAACAAAUUUCCUACAUGU